AAACCUGCACAUGCAGAGACCUCACUUCCCUUCCUUCUUUCAGGCCAUCAGACUUCCAAGUCUUCCUCCUUUCCCACUGUCUUACCCCAUCCCCAGUCCUCCCUCCCUCUCCUCUUUGACCCAUUCUCUCUUUCGCUUUGAUUUCGCCUUUGCUGCUCCCGCGUUUGGGGAUCGCGCGGCUGGGUGCUCGCUCGCGCCGCAUUCCGGGGGCCGCGCGCGGCCGGGCGGUGGGGCGGACGCCUUAAUUCCCGCCGGAGACCCUGCGGGUUGGGCCCUCCUGGCUAUUCUUUCCCGGCUCCAGUUCUCCUCUCUCUGCAGGGCACAGAAGAGCUGAGCCAAGUUCAAAGUCACGUCGCCGUCCCUUCUCAGAAGUGCUUUAUUUCUCUACAAACCGCAAACCCCUUUACUUCAUGACACUUUUUUUUUUUUUUUUAAAGGAAGGAAAGUGAAGAGAGAGCGAGAGAGAGCAAGGGGGGAAAAAGAAAGCAUGCAAAGGCUUUCAGAGUUACUGCCUCAAAAGUAGACUCGGGUUCCUUGGCUGAAGGAAAAAAGCAGCCAAGCGGCACAUUGUGAGUGAAUUCAGUUUUUCAACAGGUUUCUGGAAGGGCCCGUCUGUGGCAGUGUCAGGCCCGCAGGACCCACAACUGUCUCCAUCCGGCAAACAUGUCCCCUCUUUGUAAGUUUCCCAAAACUAUGCUUCCGAAAUCUUGCGGAGGCUGCGCGCGGCUGGGCCACAGGCCGGGGCUUGAGCGGAUCCCGCUCCAGGCCGCGCGGGCCGGUGUUCAUUUCUUUGCAAGUAGAGGGAAUGGCAGCGCGAUGGAGAAUUGGGGUUGUCUUCAAAAACCAGAAAAUCCCGCCAACACCCGAGCCCCCAUCAACCAAAGCACCUCGUUGCCGUUUGUGGGCAUCUGUGAACAGUGUUGACUGAGUUCUUUUGUGCUUCUUCAAAUAUUGAAGUAUAGAUAUUGGAAGGGGUGUGGAGUGAGAGGAACUACCCAAGAAAUUUGAGAUUUUAUUUUUAACUGCACAACCUCUACUUCUUCAUUUCCCAUCCAAAAACAUCCUAAAGGGAUUGAACCCAAAGCUGCCAUUACUACAAGAAUUAAUGCUUAUUGCCAAGAAAUUCAAAUAAUGGAAACUCAUUGGAAAGGUUCGGAGAGGAAACGAAGACAGUGAUAAUUCCAAAUAUGAUGUUUUCUUCAUAUACUAUCCAUGGAGAUGGCACAGUUCUCUAUCAACCUCUGCCUGGUUGGCUUGAAAUGUUUUAAGUCUUUGAUAUAAAAAUUGUGAAAGGACUGGUCCUUUCCAAAGAGAGAUGAUUCUGUUACCGCUGUUUAUUAAAUGUUUUUCGUUUUAUUUCCA
RNAcentral lists this long non-coding RNA (1362 nucleotides) under Macaca mulatta (Rhesus monkey). RNAcentral describes it as "lncRNA (ENSMMUG00000063961.1)". Lineage: Eukaryota; Metazoa; Chordata; Mammalia; Primates; Cercopithecidae. The record is from RNAcentral.